RNAcentral lists this long non-coding RNA (308 nucleotides) under Bos taurus (domestic cattle). RNAcentral's name for it is "long non-coding RNA NONBTAT020148". Lineage: Eukaryota; Metazoa; Chordata; Mammalia; Artiodactyla; Bovidae. The record is from RNAcentral.
AAAACAAUCUUGAGUUGAAAGAAUGGAAGAGUCAGGGUUGGCUUUUGAGGAUGAAUUGCUUGACGUACCUCAAAGAAAAUUAAAUUUACAUAUUGUGUUAAAAGGAGGCCAGAUUCAUCAUGCCAUAGAAGUCAGCCCAAAGAUGGAUUGCUGCAAUUGUCUUUUCGUAUGUUUGUUUUGGUAAAAACAUAACUGGGAGAAUUUUGUAAAAUAAAUGCAAAAUGAUGAAUAAGCUACAUCACUCUUAUUCACAUAUCUUCUCUUUUAUUAAACGGUAGCAAGAGGAAUGGAAUGCUUGCCUAGAAUGG